Molecule: ribosomal RNA, 468 nt
Filed under: uncultured bacterium
Lineage: Bacteria
Description: partial 16S ribosomal RNA
Rfam family: Bacterial small subunit ribosomal RNA
Source: RNAcentral
GACGAACGCUGGCGGCGUGCUUAACACAUGCAAGUCGAACGGAAAGGCCCUGCUUUUGUGGGGUGCUCGAGUGGCGAACGGGUGAGUAACACGUGAGUAACCUGCCCUUUACUUUGGGAUAACUUCAGGAAACUGGGGCUAAUACCGGAUAGGAGCUCCUGCUGCAUGGUGGGGGUUGGAAAGUUUCGGCGGUUGGGGAUGUACUCGCGGCUUAUCAGCUUGUUGGUGGGGUAGUGGCUUACCAAGGCUUUGACGGGUAGCCGGCCUGAGAGGGUGACCGGCCACAUUGGGACUGAGAUACGGCCCAGACUCCUAAGGGAGGCAGAAGUGGGGAAUAUUGCACAAUGGGCGGAAGCCUGAUGCAGCAACGCCGCGUGCGGGAUGACGGCCUUCGGGUUGUAAACCGCUUUCGCCUGUGACGAAGCGUGAGUGAAGGUAAUGGGUAAAGAAGCACCGGCUAACUACGUG